AUGUUCAAGGGUGGAUGGCGGAUUUGUCUCACGGAUGCAAGGCUCCUUAGGUCUCUCUCUCCUAUAGAAAGUCUUUUAGAAGACACAUCAAUACAUAUUGAUAUCUGUACUGCAGCUGCUGUUGAUGGUAGCAAUAUCCAAGGAACAACCAGUAACAAACUAGUCCAAGUCCAACCAUAUACAAGCGUCUUAAUGCCCUCGAAGUACAGAGAUGCCUUUAGGGAUGAUCAAGUUGCAGCAGUGGUUAUGCGGUACUGUCCCAAGAUACAGAAGGAGUGGCUGACCAAAUAUACAUGUUUCAUAAAGGUGGUGAUGCACAGGCAGGACAACAGACUCUUGGAGUUGGAGGAUGCUGCAGAAGCUAGUACUAGUGCUUUAAUAUUGCCUAAAUUUAUACGUGAGUUGGUUACACCAUUGCACGUGUAUGAUAACUUGUCCAUCUUUGUAUCCCUGAACCUCCUCAAGGAUCAAGAUGGCUUAGACUAA
This 486-nucleotide ribosomal RNA is filed under the name Triticum aestivum (bread wheat). RNAcentral's name for it is "partial small subunit ribosomal RNA". The record is from RNAcentral. Lineage: Eukaryota; Viridiplantae; Streptophyta; Magnoliopsida; Poales; Poaceae.